ACGUACACUCCUGCGGGAGGCAGCAGUGGGGAAUUUUGGACAAUGGGCGAAAGCCUGAUCCAGCCAUGCCGCGUGCAGGAUGAAGGCCUUCGGGUUGUAAACUGCUUUUGUACGGAACGAAACGGCCUUUUCUAAUAAAGAGGGCUAAUGACGGUACCGUAAGAAUAAGCACCGGCUAACUACGUGCCAGCAGCCGCGGUAAUACGUAGGGUGCAAGCGUUAAUCGGAAUUACUGGGCGUAAAGCGUGCGCAGGCGGUUAUGUAAGACAGUUGUGAAAUCCCCGGGCUCAACCUGGGAACUGCAUCUGUGACUGCAUAGCUAGAGUACGGUAGAGGGGGAUGGAAUUCCGCGUGUAGCAGUGAAAUGCGUAGAUAUGCGGAGGAACACCGAUGGCGAAGCCAAUCCCCUGGACCUGUACUGACGCUCAUGCACGAAAGCGUGGGGAGCAAACAGGAUUAGAUACCCUUGUAGUCCCAUGAU
Molecule: ribosomal RNA, 481 nt
Filed under: uncultured organism
Description: partial 16S ribosomal RNA
Rfam family: Bacterial small subunit ribosomal RNA
Source: RNAcentral